CUGAGCUCUCAUCUGCUGAAGUUGAUGGCAGUGUAGUGGAUGCUGUACCACUUUAGAUUCUGCUUUGCUUCUUUCACAUGUGGAUCAUAUGUUAUGAAUUCAAGGGAGAAUAGUCAAAAGCUUAGUAUCUGCUUUGAUGCACAUCUGUAACAUAGAACAGUGACCUCCAUCUGGAUCCAACAGACAUCACAUAACCACAGCGGAUGUGUUAGGAGUCGGACCUUAUGGUUAUUUUCCUAUCUCACACGAGUAGCCUGCAUGGUUUUCAGCAUAUGCUGUGAAGAUACGAGAUGUGCAGCACCUGAAACUAUGGAUACUGGAAGCCUGUGCUAGCAUUUCUCCUGCGGUGUUGCUAUCAGUGUGUGAAGAGUGGGAGAAGAGGGUUGCA
Bufo gargarizans (Asiatic toad) is the source of this 388-nucleotide long non-coding RNA. RefSeq lists it as uncharacterized. NCBI's taxonomy places the organism in Eukaryota, Metazoa, Chordata, Amphibia, Anura, Bufonidae. The record is from RefSeq and is a predicted model, not a curated record. The transcript has 3 exons.